Molecule: ribosomal RNA, 491 nt
Filed under: uncultured Porphyromonadaceae bacterium
Lineage: Bacteria; Pseudomonadati; Bacteroidota; Bacteroidia; Bacteroidales; Porphyromonadaceae
Description: partial 16S ribosomal RNA
Source: RNAcentral
CACGGAGUUAGCCGAUGCUUAUUCAUACGGUACAUGCAGGGAGUCACACGUGACUCUUGUUAUUCCCGUAUAGAAGAAGUUUACAAUCCAUAAGACAGUCAUCCUUCACGCGACUUGGCUGGUUCAGGCUCUCGCCCAUUGACCAAUAUUCCUCACUGCUGCCUCCCGUAGGAGUCUGGUCCGUGUCUCAGUACCAGUGUGGGGGAUAAACCUCUCAGUUCCCCUACCCAUCGUUGCCUUGGUGAGCCGUUACCUCACCAACAAGCUAAUGGGACGCAUGCCUAUCCUAUACCGAAUUUCUUUCCUCACUUCUUGAUGCCAAGCUGUGAGCAUACGCAGUAUUAGUCCGUCUUUCGACGGGUUAUCCUCCUGUAUAGGGCAAGUUGCAUACGCGUUACGCACCCGUGCCGCCGGUCGCCACCAGAUAGCAACGCUACCUUGUGCUGCCCCCUGACUUUGCUAUCGUGUUAACGCCUAUCCGCUACGCGUUC